Molecule: ribosomal RNA, 292 nt
Filed under: uncultured bacterium
Lineage: Bacteria
Description: partial 16S ribosomal RNA
Source: RNAcentral
GGACUACAAGGGUUUCUAAUCCUGUUUGCUCCCCGCACUUUCGCGCCUCAGCGUCAGUCAUUGGCUAGAAGUUCGCCUUCGCCACCGGUGUUCUUCCUGAUAUCUACAGAUUUCACCCCUACACCAGGAAUUCCAACUCCCCCUCCAUGACUCUAGUUACACAGUUUCCAACGCAAUCUUAAAGUUAAGCCUUAACAUUUCACGUCAGACUUGAGUAACCGCCUACGCGCCCUUUACGCCCAAUAAUUCCGAACAACGCUCGCCCCUUACGUGUUACCGCGGCUGCUGGCAC